ACUCAACAAAAUAAAAUAUGCAGAAAUCUCUCAAUUUGAUUUUAAACUUUGCAUUUAUAACUCAUUAUAUAUUCAAUCCCCUUUUACCCUUCAGCCUUCACUAUUUACUCAGCCGCAUCUGCAUCUACCUUUCCUAAAUCCUACCAACAACAAUUUGAUUUAAGAAUCAAUCACCACCAGUCACCACCAUCAAUACUAGAUGAAUCACAUUCUCUGUCAAAUUUUCUUUCUCCAUCUUCACCAUCCUCUUUAAACCACCGCCUUCAUCCGACCGAUUUAAUGACCGGAUUCAGUUCUUAAAGGACGAACAGAGGAAGAGUGGCGGAAUUGUGUUAGAGUUUUCAGUUUUUAAAGAACGGCAGCCCGCUUAUGCUCCGACGACCUCCAUUAGGAAGGUAAGCAUGAAAACUGAGAACUUGGUUGCCCAACUAAGUAAUCCAUGACUGUUUCGAAGACAAAAACUUAUAUGAGAAAAGUGGACUGAUGAAUUUUAUAUUUGUUUUGUUAAAUUACAGAAAUGUUAGGAUGUUAAGAAGAACCAUUCAUAGGAUGUUAAUUUUGUGUUUUGUUUUGUUAAAUUUAAAUAUGUAAUUGCUAGUAUUCAUGUAAUCAAAUGUCAACCAAAUAUCAACCAAUUGACUUUUUA
Molecule: long non-coding RNA, 646 nt
Organism: Mercurialis annua (annual mercury)
Lineage: Eukaryota; Viridiplantae; Streptophyta; Magnoliopsida; Malpighiales; Euphorbiaceae
Exons: 2
Source: RefSeq, a predicted model, not a curated record